GGAGAGAUAGCUUAAGCGGUAAAGCACAUGCCUAGUAUGCACAAGGUCCUGGGUUCUAAUCCCCAGUAUGUCCA
RNAcentral lists this transfer RNA (74 nucleotides) under Camelus bactrianus (Bactrian camel). It matches the Rfam family "tRNA". Rfam says of the family: Transfer RNA (tRNA) molecules are approximately 80 nucleotides in length. The record is from Rfam by way of RNAcentral. RNAcentral also lists the same sequence under 3 other names. Lineage: Eukaryota; Metazoa; Chordata; Mammalia; Artiodactyla; Camelidae.